Molecule: long non-coding RNA, 3172 nt
Filed under: Cavia porcellus (domestic guinea pig)
Lineage: Eukaryota; Metazoa; Chordata; Mammalia; Rodentia; Caviidae
Description: lncRNA (ENSCPOG00000031944.1)
Rfam family: tRNA (bases 2680-2743)
Source: RNAcentral
CUUUUAGGCUCCUCGGCAAGAACAAAACCCUCGUAAAAAGGCAAGUUCUUUUCUAAUCAAUUCUGCACAAUUGCUGACAGCAAUUAAUCUUUAAUUCAAGGAUGGGUCCCCGGCAAACCUCGCAGGAUUAAGCGACCCGAUGUGACAGAAACUCUGUGUGUGGACAGCUUGGCUAGCUCUGCUGGCCCGCCUCUCCUUCCUUCCUACCCCACCAACACCUUCUCUGGGCAGUGACUUCACAUCCUUUGACAUCAGCACAGCUCCAGGAGGGGGAUGGGAGAGCAGGCAGAAAGCAGAAAAACCAGCUCUGAACUAUGCAUGCAAGGCCUCUUUCAAGCCUCAAAUUCUAAAGGUUGCUGCAGAAAGCCAGUCCAAGGAGAAGGACAUCAGAUCUGGAGUACGGGAAAAUGUGGACAGAGGACUCCCCCCAAAAGGGAACACCAGCCCCAGCUCCAGAGAGAGAGAAGAAAGCCUCUCGGCAGAACUGAAAGUGGUUCCCCGUCUGACGUUUUCCUGAAUGGUGGCUCCUCUUCUGUUGUUUCUCACCUCUGCCCCACCUGUCCGGUGUGUAUGCUAACACCACAAAGGCCACGGCUGCCCCAAGCCCCACUGGUGAAAAUACCGACUGGCUGCGUGGACACUGCCCCUGCAGGCCCGGCCCUCACACAGCUUGGGAGUGGGUGAGCCCCACUCAGCCGUGUCAAUGGCCAUUACCAUGGAUGGUCCCGCCCAGGAGCGCAGGACUCCAGGCCAGCAGCCCACAGUGUCUCCAAAGCCUGCAGGAGUGCACCUGACCACGUCCUCCCAACCCAGGUGCGCUGUGGGUCUCCCUCCUGUCCAGGUGGUGCUGCUGCCACCUAAGUAAGAGAUGAGCCUGUGCAUUACCCCGGUGAUACCAAUUUAGACUGUGCCUGCCUGACCCUUGGCUACUGUCUGUCAGCAAAGGCCAGACUCCGGGCCCCAGCCAGGGCCACCAAGCCAUGCUGAGGAUAAUGCUGGCUCUCACUUCCACUCACCAUCACCUGCCCAUGCGGGAGUGAUGCAGGUGAACAGACUCCGUCAGGGCCACAUUGCUUGGGCUGGCAUGGUCUGUGCUGUACAGAGGACCUGCCUGCAAUCACUGAAUAUUUCAUGGGCAGCCAGAUGGGAGAGGUGCCUGCACUCGGGCUGUGCUGAUGAGCUGAAAUACAGCAGUGAGGAGAGACUCCUAGGGCUUUAUGUAAAAUACAGAUUGAAGGCAAAGGAACAGUGAAGUCACUUUUGAUGUAUUUUUCCUAAUGAUCUCAGAUCAAAGGAUCUCAACUUUAUUAGUGAUUUCCCCCAUGCUCUCCCCAAACCCUAUGCAUGUAAAGUAGUUCUUCAGAGAACUAUUAAGACUGAUCGGAGAUCACUGAUAAAACAUAUGCUAAAAUUAGAAUAAGAGAAAGGAAAAGACAACUAACCAGAGGGUAUAUUUUUCAACUGGAAACAAAUAUCCUGUAAACUUACUGUUAUUUUUUUCCUGAAAUAAUUUACGUUUAAAGUAUUUCCUAUCAAAAUCCAGGUAGCCUUCUUAUUUUUCUAGGUAUUGACAAAAUCUUCUAAAUUUUGCCUGGGAAAAUAAAGAACAAAAAUGAGAACACUUCCAAUGAGGAAGGAUAAUGCUGCCAAGCACAUAACUCCAUGAACAGAUGACAGUGCCAGGGCGGAAGAGGCAGAGCGAGGGCUGGGAAGCAACAGCCUGACCAGGACGCACUUCCACGCGGAUAUGGGGGGCUGUAAGUGGGGUCCUAAUCAGAGCGAACGCGGAAAGAGUGGACAGUGGGCCGGCUCUCCUGGAACAGGCAACUCUUACUAAUGGGUGUGUUUGUGUGUGUGUGUGUAAGCCAAGUGAAGUCUUUUGACCUCACACUAAAAUAAAAUUGCCACUGUGUUAAACAGAGAAAUAGAAGCCAAUCAUAACUCCUCCCUAAGUCCCCAUAGCUUUUAGAAGAAAAGGUAAAUGAAUAUUCUUAAGCUAGAGAAGGACACUUAAAAACACCAAACUCCUAAGGGAUGUUCCACCUUAGAAAUUAAAUGCUAUAAAUACAGUAACAUUAGUGUAACUGACUAGAAAAACAUUAAGCUUUCAGUGUCUAAAUGAUUCAUGAAAGAACUAUAAAUGCUCAAUAAGCACAUGGAAAAAUAUUUUUUACUGAUCAGAUCAGCAAUAAUUUUUAAGUGAAAGUCAAUUCAGGUUGAGGAUAUGAUGGAGUUUUGACAACAAAACUGCCAUUGCUUGGAGUCCUCCACAGUCAUCUGGCAGUAGGAGUCAAGAUUCUGUGUCUAAACUGGAUGUGGUAAUGCACACUUGUAAUCUCAGCACUCGGGAGGCUGAGGCAGGAGACCAGCCUGGGCUACACAGUGAGCUCAAGGCCAGCCAGAACUGCAGAGUGAGACCCUGUCUCAAAAGGACAAAAAAAAAAAAAAAAAGAGUGUGGCAAUUUUACUUCUGGAAAUGUAAUAGUCACAAAUGAACAUCACUUCAAAAAAAAUGUUUAUUUUAUGCAGGCACCUGUGGGACAGGAGGAUCUCAAGUUUGAGGCCAGUCUGGGCAAUGCAGAGACACUCUCUUAUAGUACAAAGGCUGGGGAUCAUGCUCAGUGGUAGAAUAUUCUUGUGUUUGAUGGUACUGAUUUAAAAAAUGUCUAAUUUGGGGCUGGGGAUUUAGCUCAGUGGCAUAAGCGCCUGCCUUGCAAGCAGGCAGUCGUGAGUUCGAUCCCUGGUACCGAUAAAAACGAAAAAGACAAAAAAAAAAAAAAAAAAAAGCCAAAAAAAAAGUCUAAUUAAUAAAAUACACAUUUCUGCAAAAUGAAGCCGGGUGUAGUGGUGCAUUUCUAUAAUCCCAGUGCCAUAUUUACCCCACAAACCAAACCCUGAAAUUUAAAUUGUGCUAAAAUAUGACAUAGAAUUUAUCUUUAUAACCAUUUUUAGGUGUCCUGCUCCGUGGCAUUAAGUCCAUUCGUGUCCCCGCUUCCAAAUCUUUUGUCUAUUCCCUGCUUUCAAUUCUUUUGAGUAUGUAACCUUAGUGGAAUUGCUGGGUCAUAUGGUAAUUCCAUUUUUAAUUCUUAAAAAAAACUGUCACACUGUUUUCCACAGUGGUUUUACCAUUUUAUACCUCCCCAAGAGUGCACAGAGUUCCAAGGCACACCCC